This 178-nucleotide ribosomal RNA is filed under the name Helicobacter pylori. Its description in RNAcentral is "partial 23S ribosomal RNA". It matches the Rfam family "Bacterial large subunit ribosomal RNA", at positions 1916 to 2093 of the family's 2925-position model. The record is from RNAcentral. Lineage: Bacteria; Pseudomonadati; Campylobacterota; Epsilonproteobacteria; Campylobacterales; Helicobacteraceae.
AGCCCGAGUAAACGGCGGCCGUAACUAUAACGGUCCUAAGGUAGCGAAAUUCCUUGUCGGUUAAAUACCGACCUGCAUGAAUGGCGUAACGAGAUGGGAGCUGUCUCAACCAGAGAUUCAGUGAAAUUGUAGUGGAGGUGAAAAUUCCUCCUACCCGCGGCAAGACGGAGAGACCCCG